UACGAAGGGGGGCUAGCGUUGCUCGGAAUCACUGGGCGUAAAGCGCACGUAGGCGGAUCUUUAAGUCAGAGGUGAAAUCCCAAAGGCUCAACCUUGGAACUGCCUUUGAUACUGGGGAUCUCGAGUCCGGAAGAGGUGAGUGGAACUGCGAGUGUAGAGGUGAAAUUCGUAGAUAUUCGCAAGAACACCAGUGGCGAAGGCGGACUCACUGGUCCGGUACUGACGCUGAGGUGCGGAAAGCGUGGGGAGCAACAGGGAUUAAGAUACCC
Molecule: ribosomal RNA, 269 nt
Filed under: uncultured bacterium
Lineage: Bacteria
Description: partial 16S ribosomal RNA
Rfam family: Bacterial small subunit ribosomal RNA
Source: RNAcentral